Molecule: non-coding RNA, 95 nt
Organism: Mycena olivaceomarginata
Lineage: Eukaryota; Fungi; Basidiomycota; Agaricomycetes; Agaricales; Mycenaceae
Source: the annotation of a GenBank genome assembly
GGUCUGGUGGCUCAGCGGUAGAGUGUGCACCUAAAAUAAAACCAGGCUAACGACGGUAUAUGUGCAAGGCGCCGGUUCGACUCCGGCCCAGGCCU